Molecule: transfer RNA, 73 nt
Filed under: Ictidomys tridecemlineatus (thirteen-lined ground squirrel)
Lineage: Eukaryota; Metazoa; Chordata; Mammalia; Rodentia; Sciuridae
Description: Spermophilus tridecemlineatus (thirteen-lined ground squirrel) tRNA
Rfam family: tRNA
About the family: Transfer RNA (tRNA) molecules are approximately 80 nucleotides in length. Their secondary structure includes four short double-helical elements and three loops (D, anti-codon, and T loops).
Source: Rfam by way of RNAcentral
GGAGAUAUAGCUCAGUUGGUAGAGUGCUUGCCUCACAUGCACAAGGCCUUGGGUUCAAUUCCCUGCACCCCCC